CCUACGGGGGGCUGCAGUGAGGAAUAUUGGUCAAUGGGCGAGAGCCUGAACCAGCCAAGUAGCGUGAAGGAUGAAGGCUCUAUGGGUCGUAAACUUCUUUUAUAUGGGAAUAAAGUUUUCCACGUGUGGAAUUUUGUAUGUACCAUAUGAAUAAGGAUCGGCUAACUCCGUGCCAGCAGCCGCGGUAAUACGGAGGAUCCGAGCGUUAUCCGGAUUUAUUGGGUUUAAAGGGAGCGUAGAUGGAUGUUUAAGUCAGUUGUGAAAGUUUGCGGCUCAACCGUAAAAUUGCAGUUGAAACUGGCAGUCUUGAGUACAGUAGAGGUGGGCGGAAUUCGUGGUGUAGCGGUGAAAUGCUUAGAUAUCACGAAGAACUCCGAUUGCGAAGGCAGCCUGCUAAGCUGCAACUGACAUUGAGGCUCGAAAG
This 424-nucleotide ribosomal RNA is filed under the name uncultured Parvimonas sp. Its description in RNAcentral is "bacterial SSU rRNA". It matches the Rfam family "Bacterial small subunit ribosomal RNA", at positions 338 to 759 of the family's 1533-position model. Lineage: Bacteria; Bacillati; Bacillota; Tissierellia; Tissierellales; Peptoniphilaceae. The record is from RNAcentral.